AAUGCAACAUUUUCACAAACAGAUGUACAAAAUGACACUGAAGAUUUACUUUAUGCAUCAGACACAGAACAAUCAUUUACAAAGGAUUUUGAAUCCGCUAACUUUACUGAAACAGCAAGUAUGCCAAUCCAACAAGCAAAGCUUGAUUCGAGUUUCAAUUGUAAUCAAGAAACUAAAAAUUUUCGACGUUUUGUUGUUGGAAAGUUGAUAAGUUUGGAAUUAAAAAAUAAUUCUAUUGAAAGACAUCUAAAG
Long non-coding RNA from Camponotus floridanus (Florida carpenter ant), 252 nucleotides. RefSeq lists it as uncharacterized. The transcript has 3 exons. The record is from RefSeq and is a predicted model, not a curated record. NCBI's taxonomy places the organism in Eukaryota, Metazoa, Arthropoda, Insecta, Hymenoptera, Formicidae.